Molecule: ribosomal RNA, 265 nt
Filed under: uncultured bacterium
Lineage: Bacteria
Description: partial 16S ribosomal RNA
Rfam family: Bacterial small subunit ribosomal RNA
Source: RNAcentral
UACGUAGGGUGCAAGCGUUGUCCGGAAUUAUUGGGCGUAAAGAGCUCGUAGGCGGCUUGUCACGUCUGCUGUGAAAAACUCGGGGCUCAACCCCCGAGCCUGCAGUGGAUACGGGCUAGCUAGAGUGCGGUAGGGGGAGACUGGAAUUCCUGGUGUAGCGGUGAAAAUGCGCAGAUAUCAGGAGGAACACCGGUGGCGAAGGCGGGGUCUCUGGGGCCGAAUACUGACGCUGGAGGAGCGAAAAGCGUGGGGGAGGCGAACAGGA